This 482-nucleotide ribosomal RNA is filed under the name Streptococcus lutetiensis. RNAcentral's name for it is "bacterial SSU rRNA". It matches the Rfam family "Bacterial small subunit ribosomal RNA", at positions 9 to 474 of the family's 1533-position model. The record is from RNAcentral. Lineage: Bacteria; Bacillati; Bacillota; Bacilli; Lactobacillales; Streptococcaceae.
GAGUUUGAUUAUGGCUCAGGACGAACGCUGGCGGCGUGCCUAAUACAUGCAAGUAGAACGCUGAAGACUUUAGCUUGCUAAAGUUGGAAGAGUUGCGAACGGGUGAGUAACGCGUAGGUAACCUGCCUACUAGCGGGGGAUAACUAUUGGAAACGAUAGCUAAUACCGCAUAACAGCAUUUAACCCAUGUUAGAUGCUUGAAAGGAGCAAUUGCUUCACUAGUAGAUGGACCUGCGUUGUAUUAGCUAGUUGGUGAGGUAACGGCUCACCAAGGCGACGAUACAUAGCCGACCUGAGAGGGUGAUCGGCCACACUGGGACUGAGACACGGCCCAGACUCCUACGGGAGGCAGCAGUAGGGAAUCUUCGGCAAUGGGGGCAACCCUGACCGAGCAACGCCGCGUGAGUGAAGAAGGUUUUCGGAUCGUAAAGCUCUGUUGUAAGAGAAGAACGUGUGUGAGAGUGGAAAGUUCACACAGGACG